CCUACGUGUGGCAGCAGUAGGGAAUCUUCCACAAUGGGCGAAAGCCUGAUGGAGCAACGCCGCGUGGGUGAAGAAGGUCUUCGGAUCGUAAAACCCUGUUGUUAGAGAAGAAAGUGCGUGAGAGUAACUGUUCACGUUUCGACGGUAUCUAACCAGACAGCCACGGCUAACUCCGUGCCAGCAGCCGCGGUAAUACGUAGGUGGCAAGCGUUAUCCGGAUUUAUUGGGCGUAAAGGGAACGCAGGCGGUCUUUUAAGUCUGAUGGGAAAGCCUUCGGCUUAACCGGAGUAGUGCAUGGGAAACUGGGAGACUUGAGUGCAGAAGAGGAGAGUGGAACUCCAUGUGUAGCGGUGAAAUGCGUAGAUAUAUGGAAGAACACCAGUGGCGAAAGCGGCUCUCUGGUCUGUAACUGACGCUGAGGUUCGAAAGCGUGGGUAGCAAACAGGAUUAGAUACCCGGGUAGUC
RNAcentral lists this ribosomal RNA (465 nucleotides) under uncultured bacterium. RNAcentral describes it as "partial 16S ribosomal RNA". It matches the Rfam family "Bacterial small subunit ribosomal RNA", at positions 338 to 795 of the family's 1533-position model. The record is from RNAcentral.